Pogona vitticeps (central bearded dragon) is the source of this 195-nucleotide non-coding RNA. The record is from RefSeq and is a predicted model, not a curated record. NCBI's taxonomy places the organism in Eukaryota, Metazoa, Chordata, Lepidosauria, Squamata, Agamidae.
CAGGUUUUGACCCUAGAAUCUCAAGGAAAAGGACACUGAUGAAUUGAGAAGUACUCAGAAAUACCUAAGAGCUCCUGCAUAUGAGGCAUUUGUUCCACAAAACCACAUUAAUGCCCAGAGACUCUGGUUUAUCACCAUCCAGAUGUCAUAAGGCUUGUCAAGUGACUUCCAGAUGGUACAGCUAGAAUCUUGUCC